RNAcentral lists this ribosomal RNA (419 nucleotides) under uncultured bacterium. RNAcentral describes it as "bacterial SSU rRNA". It matches the Rfam family "Bacterial small subunit ribosomal RNA", at positions 28 to 458 of the family's 1533-position model. The record is from RNAcentral.
GAUGAACGCUGGCGGCGUGCCUAACACAUGCAAGUCGAGCGAUCUUCUUCGGAAGAGAGCGGCGGACGGGUGAGUAACGCGUGGGUAACCUGCCCUGUACACACGGAUAACAUACCGAAAGGUAUGCUAAUACGAGAUAAUAUGCUUUUAUCGCAUGGUAGAAGUAUCAAAGCUCCGGCGGUACAGGAUGGACCCGCGUCUGAUUAGCUAGUUGGUAAGGUAACGGCUUACCAAGGCGACGAUCAGUAGCCGACCUGAGAGGGUGAUCGGCCACAUUGGAACUGAGACACGGUCCAAACUCCUACGGAGGCAGCAGUGGGGAAUAUUGCACAAUGGGCGAAAGCCUGAUGCAGCAACGCCGCGUGAGCGAUGAAGGCCUUCGGUCGUAAAGCUCUGUCCUCAAGGAAGAUAAUGACGGU